AUACGGAGGAUCCGAGCGUUAUCCGGAUUUAUUGGGUUUAAAGGGUGCGUAGGCGGCCUUUUAAGUCAGCGGUGAAAGUCUGUGGCUCAACCAUAGAAUUGCCGUUGAAACUGGGGGGCUUGAGUAUGUUUGAGGCAGGCGGAAUGCGUGGUGUGGCGGUGAAAAGCUUAGAUAUCAAGCAGAACCCCGAUUGCGAAGGCAGCCUGCCAAGCCAUGACUGACGCUGAUGCACGAAAGCGUGGGGAUCAAACAGGAUUAGAUACCCUGGUAGUCCACGCAGUAAACGAUGAUCACUAGCUGUUUGCGAUACACUGUAAGCGGCACAGCGAAAGUGUUAAGUGAUCCACCUGGGGAGUACGCCGGCAACGGUGAAACUCAAAUGAAUUGGCGGGG
RNAcentral lists this ribosomal RNA (393 nucleotides) under uncultured bacterium. Its description in RNAcentral is "partial 16S ribosomal RNA". It matches the Rfam family "Bacterial small subunit ribosomal RNA", at positions 523 to 918 of the family's 1533-position model. The record is from RNAcentral.